UUGAGUGGCGGACGGGUGAGUAACGCGUGGGUAACCUGCCCUGUACAGGGGGAUAACAGCUGGAAACGGCUGCUAAUACCGCAUAAGCGCACAGUACCGCAUGGUACGGUGUGAAAAACUCCGGUGGUAUGAGAUGGACCCGCGUCUGAUUAGGUAGUUGGUGGGGUAACGGCCUACCAAGCCGACGAUCAGUAGCCGACCUGAGAGGGUGACCGGCCACAUUGGGACUGAGACACGGCCCAAACUCCUACGGGAGGCAGCAUG
RNAcentral lists this ribosomal RNA (264 nucleotides) under uncultured bacterium. RNAcentral describes it as "partial 16S ribosomal RNA". It matches the Rfam family "Bacterial small subunit ribosomal RNA", at positions 91 to 353 of the family's 1533-position model. The record is from RNAcentral.